GGUGCAAGCGUUAUCCGGAUUCACUGGGUUUAAAGGGUGCGUAGGUGGGCAAGUAAGUCAGUGGUGAAAUCUCCGGGCUUAACCCGGAAACUGCCAUUGAUACUAUUUGUCUUGAAUACUGUGGAGGUCAGCGGAAUAUGUCAUGUAGCGGUGAAAUGCUUAGAUAUGACAUAGAACACCAAUUGCGAAGGCAGCUGGCUACACAAAUAUUGACACUGAGGCACGAAAGCGUGGGGAUCAAACAGGAUUAGAUACCCUGGUAGUCCACGCCCUAAACUAUGGAUACUCGACAUUUGCGAUAAACUGCAAGUGUCUGAGCGAAAGCAUUAAGUAUCCCACCUGGGAAGUACGAUCGCAAGAUUG
Molecule: ribosomal RNA, 363 nt
Filed under: uncultured bacterium
Lineage: Bacteria
Description: bacterial SSU rRNA
Rfam family: Bacterial small subunit ribosomal RNA
Source: RNAcentral